AUUCAGCUGACGAGUCUCAAAUAGGAUGAAACGUGUGUUUUGUAU
RNAcentral lists this non-coding RNA (45 nucleotides) under Schistosoma haematobium. The record is from RNAcentral. Lineage: Eukaryota; Metazoa; Platyhelminthes; Trematoda; Strigeidida; Schistosomatidae.